AACGCUGGCGGCGUGCUUAACACAUGCAAGUCGAACGGAAAGGCCCUGCUUUUGUGGGGUGCUCGAGUGGCGAACGGGUGAGUAACACGUGAGUAACCUGCCCUUGACUUUGGGAUAACUUCAGGAAACUGGGGCUAAUACCGGAUAGGAGCUCCUGCUGCAUGGUGGGGGUUGGAAAGUUUCGGCGGUUGGGGAUGGACUCGCGGCUUAUCAGCUUGUUGGUGGGGUAGUGGCUUACCAAGGCUUUGACGGGUAGCCGGCCUGAGAGGGUGACCGGCCACAUUGGGACUGAGAUACGGCCCAGACUCCUACGGGAGGCAGCAGUGGGGAAUAUUGCACAAUGGGCGGAAGCCUGAUGCAGCAACGCCGCGUGCGGGAUGACGGCCUUCGGGUUGUAAACCGCUUUCGCCUGUGACGAAGCGUGAGUGACGGUAAUGGGUAAAGAAGCACCGGCUAACUACGUGCCAGCAGCCGCGGUGAUACGUAGGGUGCGAGCGUUGUCCGGAUUUAUUGGGCGUAAAGGGCUCGUAGGUGGUUGAUCGCGUCGGAAGUGUAAUCUUGGGGCUUAACCCUGAGCGUGCUUUCGAUACGGGUUGACUUGAGGAAGGUAGGGGAGAAUGGAAUUCCUGGUGGAGCGGUGGAAUGCGCAGAUAUCAGGAGGAACACCAGUGGCGAAGGCGGUUCUCUGGGCCUUUCCUGACGCUGAGGAGCGAAAGCGUGGGGAGCGAACAGGCUUAGAUACCCUGGUAGUCCACGCUGUAAACGGUGGGUACUAGGUGUGGGGUCCAUUCCACGGGUUCCGUGCCGUAGCUAACGCUUUAAGUACCCCGCCUGGGGAGUACGGCCGCAAGGCUAAAACUCAAAGGAAUUGACGGGGCCCCGCACAAGCGGCGGAGCAUGCGGAUUAAUUCGAUGCAACGCGUAGAACCUUACCUGGGUUUGACAUGGAUCGGGAGUGCUCAGAGAUGGGUGUGCCUCUUUUGGGGUCGGUUCACAGGUGGUGCAUGGCUGUCGUCAGCUCGUGUCGUGAGAUGUUGGGUUAAGUCCCGCAACGAGCGCAACCCUUGUUCACUGUUGCCAGCACGUUAUGGUGGGGACUCAGUGGAGACCGCCGGGGUCAACUCGGAGGAAGGUGGGGAUGACGUCAAGUCAUCAUGCCCCUUAUGUCCAGGGCUUCACGCAUGCUACAAUGGCUGGUACAGAGAGUGGCGAGCCUGUGAGGGUGAGCGAAUCUCGGAAAGCCGGUCUCAGUUCGGAUUGGGGUCUGCAACUCGACCUCAUGAAGUCGGAGUCGCUAGUAAUCGCAGAUCAGCAACGCUGCGGUGAAUACGUUCCCGGGGCUUGUACACACCGCCCGUCAAGUCAUGAAAGUUGGUAACACCCGAAGCCGGUGGCCUAACCGUUGUGGGGGAGCCGUCGAAGGUGGGACUGGUGAUUAGGACUAAGU
RNAcentral lists this ribosomal RNA (1447 nucleotides) under uncultured organism. RNAcentral describes it as "16S ribosomal RNA". It matches the Rfam family "Bacterial small subunit ribosomal RNA". The record is from RNAcentral.